This is a long non-coding RNA of Mytilus californianus (California mussel), 885 nucleotides long. RefSeq lists it as uncharacterized. NCBI's taxonomy places the organism in Eukaryota, Metazoa, Mollusca, Bivalvia, Mytilida, Mytilidae. The transcript is spliced from 3 exons. The record is from RefSeq and is a predicted model, not a curated record.
UCUACUACUCGAUGUUGAAUGACAAAAAUAAAAUCAAUCAACAAAAUAACGAGUUUGCAGUUGCAUGUUGACAUUGUUGUUGUUCUAUUGAUAUGCUAAUCAAACACCACCUCACAAAUUGUUUACUUCACAGUCAUGACGAAACAUAGAAAUAGUUCCUACUUUAAGUGUUGGCAGAAUAUGCUGAUCUGAUUGCAGAGGUAUGUGGAAUGGAAAGAAAGAGAUACAUGUACAUACAGAGACUGUUUGAAUUUAAGGUGUAAAAAUGAGCUACAUGUACCAGAAAAGAUAUUGAAAAUUUAAAAACUGUUUUAACAAGAGCAUCAUAAAAUAUAAAAAAAAAAGAACAAUACCAGGUCUGGACCUUUGUGACUGCAUGCAAUUAAUUCUAAAGUACCAGGAAACAAGAUGUAGCUGCACAGCAGACAUGGCAGAUCUUAAAAUUGCUAAUAGGCAUCAACUCAACAUUUUCAAGCUGCAUUUAAAAGGAAAAGCAUUCCUUUUCAUAGAAUCCAAGAUUUUUUUAACCAAGUCAAGUGGUUAUUAGACCUGUUAUCAUGAAAAUACUAACAUAUAUAUUAGUAUUAACAGUCACAUGUAAUAUCCCAAAUAUAAGAACUAUUUGGUAUGUGUGACUAUCUUUCUUCCCAUGUCAUGUUACAUGUAUGCUCAGAAUAUUUUAAUGUCUCAAGGAUAUGAAAUGGAUAAAUGAUAUAUUGUCAACCAUUUAAAUAAAACAGACAGGCUCACAUAUAAAUUAACUGUCUAUGUGAAAGUUCAAGUUGACUAAAAUUGUCUAGAAUUAAAAAAACAUAUAUCCAAAAGUACAGAAUUGCCUUUCUCAGAAAUUUUGUAUGUUUAAUAGAAUGAUACUUGUAGCUUCUA